RNAcentral lists this ribosomal RNA (427 nucleotides) under uncultured bacterium. RNAcentral describes it as "partial 16S ribosomal RNA". It matches the Rfam family "Bacterial small subunit ribosomal RNA", at positions 355 to 774 of the family's 1533-position model. The record is from RNAcentral.
UGGGGAAUAUUGGACAAUGGGCGAAAGCCUGAUCCAGCCAUGCCGCGUGUGUGAAGAAGGUCUUCGGAUUGUAAAGCACUUUAAGUUGGGAGGAAGGGCAUUAACCUAAUACGUUAGUGUUUUGACGUUACCGACAGAAUAAGCACCGGCUAACUCUGUGCCAGCAGCCGCGGUAAUACAGAGGGUGCAAGCGUUAAUCGGAAUUAUUGGGCGUAAAGCGAGCGUAGGUGGUUUGUAAAGUUGGAUGUGAAAUCCCCGGGCUCAACCUGGGAACUGCAUUCAAAACUGACUGACUAGAGUAUGGUAGAGGGUGGUGGAAUUUCCUGUGUAGCGGUGAAAUGCGUAGAUAUAGGAAGGAACACCAGUGGCGAAGGCGACCACCUGGACUAAUACUGACACUGAGGUGCGAAAGCGUGGGGAGCAAACA